This 335-nucleotide ribosomal RNA is filed under the name uncultured Allobrachymonas sp. Its description in RNAcentral is "bacterial SSU rRNA". It matches the Rfam family "Bacterial small subunit ribosomal RNA", at positions 1039 to 1382 of the family's 1533-position model. The record is from RNAcentral. Lineage: Bacteria; Pseudomonadati; Pseudomonadota; Betaproteobacteria; Burkholderiales; Comamonadaceae.
UGCUGCAUGGCUGUCGUCAGCUCGUGUCGUGAGAUGUUGGUUAAGUCCGCAACGAGCGCAACCCUUGCCAUUAGUUGCUACGAAAGGGCACUCUAAUGGGACUGCCGGUGACAAACCGGAGGAAGGUGGGGAUGACGUCAAGUCCUCAUGGCCCUUAUAGGUGGGGCUACACACGUCAUACAAUGGCCGGUACAGAGGGUAGCCAACCCGCGAGGGGGAGCCAAUCCCACAAAGCCGGUCGUAGUCCGGAUCGCAGUCUGCAACUCGACUGCGUGAAGUCGGAAUCGCUAGUAAUCGCGGAUCAGCAUGUCGCGGUGAAUACGUUCCCGGGUCUU